RNAcentral lists this ribosomal RNA (253 nucleotides) under uncultured bacterium. RNAcentral describes it as "partial 16S ribosomal RNA". It matches the Rfam family "Bacterial small subunit ribosomal RNA", at positions 524 to 776 of the family's 1533-position model. RNAcentral also lists the same sequence under 1 other name. The record is from RNAcentral.
GACGAAGGAUGCAAGCGUUAUCCGGAUUCAUUGGGUUUAAAGGGAGCGUAGGUGGCCUUAUAAGUCAGUGGUGAAAUCUCUCAGCUUAACUGAGAAAUUGCCAUUGAUACUGUAGGGCUUGAGUACAGUUGCUGUGGGCGGAAUAUGACAUGUAGUGGUGAAAUACAUAGAGAUGUCAUAGAACACCGAUUGCGAAGGCAGCUCACAAAACUGUAACUGACACUGAGGCUCGAAAGUGCGGGGAUCAAACAGG